Molecule: long non-coding RNA, 1442 nt
Filed under: Homo sapiens (human)
Lineage: Eukaryota; Metazoa; Chordata; Mammalia; Primates; Hominidae
Description: non-protein coding lnc-TIMP3-10:1
Source: RNAcentral
CUUCUUCCCCCAACCCCGGCGGCUCCCGGCCGCCUCGGGCUUGGCGUGCCUCGCGGAAAAAGGGGGAAGGGAAGCGGGACGGGCCCGCAGCUGCCGUGGUAGAGAGGCUCGCAGGCUUGCAGGACCAUGCAGCCUGCUCCCCAAAUUGCACAAAACAGCCGUCGUGAGAAGUAGGAAGUUUCCCCGCCUCGGGUCGCAGCUUCUCUCGGAGCCUCGUGAAACAACGACCCCCACCAGCAGCAGCAGCGCCCGCUUUGCCCCGGCUCCGGAGCGCUGUUUACCUAAUCUCAGCGGCUGACCGAGCCCAGCAGAAUGCGAAAGGGAGGCAGCGGUGGUACAGCAGCGUCCCCGGCGAAGAAGUAAAAGACGUUUGCUUUGGAGCUUCGGGAUAAGUUAACUGCGAAGCUGGGGUCCUGCUGUCUUACCUCUGCGGCGAUGAGCCUCACCGUGCACGUUGGCAGGCAUAGCAGAUUCUGUUUCUGAUGCCAUUACCGUGUCGGAGAAGAACAUUAUAUGAAAAAAUACUAUCUAAUAUCCUAGAGACCAUUAAAGUGUCAAAGUUUAAUGCCAAGUCUUUUAGCUCGAAGGCUGCUCAGUUCUUCCUCUGACGUGCAGCUCUGUUCCAGAACGCGCUGAAAACAAGGGGAUCAUUUUUAUUUUUUUGCCGCCCGAAUGUCCUUCCUUCCUACUCUCUUCCUCCUCUCUCACCCCUACCCCCUCCCCGGAACCGGGUAAAGUUAAAGGGAGAAUUUGUACUUUCUUUUUACGUUUUGCUUUGCUUCACUUCAUUAGUGGUGUAAAAUGCAUUAUUACAGCACAUUAGCAUAUUAAUAAAGGUAACGUGACUGAGGAAAGGAAAAGACCUGAAAUUUACAAGCGAAGGAGAAAUAGUUGAAUAACAUCAGAAACUAAAAGAUAAGCUUCCGGGAAAGAAACAUCUCCAUUAUAAUGACUCAAGUGUAGUACAUUCUCUAGAUGGAAUCUAAGAAAGAAAAAUGUGACCAUGGUGUGGGAGCUAGCAAUGUUCACGCUGGUCAGUAAGGCACGUUGAAGACAUAAUGCCUUAUUAGUGGAUUUCACAAAGUGUACUUGCAUUGGUCAAUAAGCACCUUAAAUGUGGAAAAGCUUUGUUUUAUCAAAUCAAGGUUGCAAGUGCCUGCAGUCAGUGGCAUAGCUAAUGCUCUAAAUGAUAUUAAUGUUGUCAGACUGAAAUGUGCCACAUACUGAGUCCUCUGGUUAGUACAUCAAGCCCCAGGUUUAAAGUAUUACGUUGGAAAAUUGUAAAGCUCCUCAACUCCCCAGUCCAAGCAACUAAAUAUGUAUAUACAUAUACAUGGAAACCCUGAAGUAGGAUGUAGUUACCAGGAAUUAUAGCCUUUUGACACAACCAAGAUACAAAUGUCUUAAAAGGAUUUCCGCUACGAUAUAGUAUGAGAAUGCAG